UAGCUUGCUAGAAGAUGACGAGCGGCGGACGGGUGAGUAAUGCUUGGGAACAUGCCUUGAGGUGGGGGACAACCAUUGGAAACGAUGGCUAAUACCGCAUAAUGUCUACGGACCAAAGGGGGCUUCGGCUCUCGCCUUUAGAUUGGCCCAAGUGGGAUUAGCUAGUUGGUGAGGUAAAGGCUCACCAAGGCGACGAUCCCUAGCUGGUUUGAGAGGAUGAUCAGCCACACUGGAACUGAGACACGGUCCAGACUCCUACGGGAGGCAGCAGUGGGGAAUAUUGCACAAUGGGCGCAAGCCUGAUGCAGCCAUGCCGCGUGUGUGAAGAAGGCCUUCGGGUUGUAAAGCACUUUCAGUCAGGAGGAAAGGUUAGUAGUUAAUACCUGCUAGCUGUGACGUUACUGACAGAAGAAGCACCGGCUAACUCCGUGCCAGCAGCCGCGGUAAUACGGAGGGUGCGAGCGUUAAUCGGAAUUACUGGGCGUAAAGCGUACGCAGGCGGUUUGUUAAGCGAGAUGUGAAAGCCCCGGGCUUAACCUGGGAACUGCAUUUCGAACUGGCAAACUAGAGUGUGAUAGAGGGUGGUAGAAUUUCAGGUGUAGCGGUGAAAUGCGUAGAGAUCUGAAGGAAUACCGAUG
This 638-nucleotide ribosomal RNA is filed under the name Pseudoalteromonas sp. S156. RNAcentral describes it as "bacterial SSU rRNA". It matches the Rfam family "Bacterial small subunit ribosomal RNA", at positions 76 to 714 of the family's 1533-position model. The record is from RNAcentral. Lineage: Bacteria; Pseudomonadati; Pseudomonadota; Gammaproteobacteria; Alteromonadales; Pseudoalteromonadaceae.